This 918-nucleotide long non-coding RNA is filed under the name Mus spretus (western wild mouse). RNAcentral's name for it is "lncRNA (ENSMSPG00010009371.1)". The record is from RNAcentral. Lineage: Eukaryota; Metazoa; Chordata; Mammalia; Rodentia; Muridae.
GGAGCGCUGGGACCCGCGGUCGCCGUCCGCGGUCCUGGGAAAGGCCGCGGAUAGAUCGGACAGUGAGGCUCCCUGUAGAGCUGUGGUUAAAUCAGUCUGCCCCGUGGCCACUCCGUAGGGCGUCCAGCUUUGUCCAGUAGGCAGCAGUGUCUGCUCAAUGCCGGGUGUAAAUAAAAAACUAUCGAAAUCAGCCAGGCUAAUGUUGCUUUCCAAAAUUAAGUGACUUGGGUGAUGUAGAAAUCGCGACUCAGAAUGUCUAGAAAGCAUGUUCGGAAUGCUUUCCAGAUCUCCACCCUUCAGCAAUUCGGUUUAUUCAAGGUUGAAACAGGGUAACAAGAUUUGUAACCUCUUAACCCUUCUACACCUCUACCAUCGACUCCCUGAUCUCGAAUCGUCACGGAUUCGACCAUGAAGCAUUCACGAUGGAGCAAACUUUACCUUGAAUUCUUCCAAGAUGAAUUUGAGCCUGCGUGCUUGGGGGUAAAAACGUGGCUGACAUGUCUAAACAAAAUAUAUGGUCAUUUUCAUCUCUGACUGGAACUUGAAUUGGCUUCAGCAAGAACCAGCUCACACCUAAGUCAUCAGCAAGACUCUUGCAGAUUUCUUCUGGAGAGACAGAAAUAUCUGCAGCCAGGAGGACGGCUGUUGGAGGAAUUCAGGAGCAUUCGACGGAGUCUCCUGGAGUCAGGGAGUGGUCAGUUUUACACAUCCUCCUUAGGACCUCACAGGCAAGAACAGCAGGAUCUGCUUCCUUCAUGAAACCUUGGUUCUGUUUUAUCCAUUGACAGUCCUUCAGGAUACCUAACCUGUCCAGAAAUCAAGGCCUUUGCCUUCCCCACAGAGAUAACUCGGACAUGCCGAGGGAUCCCCUUUACAUCCUUGCGCUCAAGUGGAUUCAGUGUCACAGUUCAGGCGCUU